Molecule: ribosomal RNA, 231 nt
Filed under: Bacillus sp. m3-18
Lineage: Bacteria; Bacillati; Bacillota; Bacilli; Caryophanales; Bacillaceae
Description: partial 16S ribosomal RNA
Rfam family: Bacterial small subunit ribosomal RNA
Source: RNAcentral
UAAGACUGGGAUAACUCCGGGAAACCGGGGCUAAUACCGGAUAACUCAGUUCCUCGCAUGAGGAACGGUUGAAAGGUGGCUUUUAGCUACCACUUACAGAUGGACCCGCGGCGCAUUAGCUAGUUGGUGAGGUAACGGCUCACCAAGGCGACGAUGCGUAGCCGACCUGAGAGGGUGAUCGGCCACACUGGGACUGAGACACGGCCCAGACUCCUACGGGAGGCAGCAGUG